Molecule: ribosomal RNA, 468 nt
Filed under: uncultured bacterium
Lineage: Bacteria
Description: partial 16S ribosomal RNA
Rfam family: Bacterial small subunit ribosomal RNA
Source: RNAcentral
GACGAACGCUGGCGGCGUGCUUAACACAUGCAAGUCGAACGGAAAGGCCCUGCUUUUGUUGGUUUCUCGUUUGGCGAACGGGUGAGUAUCACGUGAGUAACCUGCCCUUGUCUUUGGGAUAUCUUCAGGAAACUGGGGCUCAUACCGGAUAGGAGCUCCUGCUGCAUGUUGUGGGUUGGAAAGUUUCGGCUGUUGGGGAUGUACUCGCGGCUUAUCAGCUUGUUGGUGUGGUAGUGGCUUACCAAGGCUUUGACGGGUAGCCGGCCUGAGAGGGUGACCGGCCACAUUGGGACUGAGAGACGGCCCAGAAUCCUACGGGAGGCAGCAGGGGGGAAUAUUGCACAAUGGGCGGAAGCCUGAGGCAGAAACGCCGCGUGCGGGAUGACGGCCUUCGGGUGGUAAACAGCUUUCGAAUGUGACGAAGAGGGAGUGACGGUAAUGGGUAAAGAAGCACCGGCUAACUACGUG